CGAAAACGGGGCACCCACUCCUCUUUCCACAGCUCCCUCUCUCCAGCCUAUCGUUUCCUUUGAUGACAACGGCAAGUAUCGGGUGAGUUUUGCCUCGCCCCUUUUCUGAAGUGCGCCAGCGCUUGCUCAGUGCCGCUGCACGCACAGACGUGUGCGUGUACGACCUCUGAUUUGCCGUCACCCUUCCUGUGCUUUCCAUCACUGCAGAUUUUUUUUUGUAUGAAAGAAGGGUUUCUAUCCGCCACUGAAGUCUCCAAGAUACACCCAGGCUGAGAGGCUCACACUCGACAACAUGGCAUGGCACUGCUCGUCAACGACGAAUGCGGGGAUGGUGGCUGCACUGCAGCGCGAGGGUCUCAUCAAAACACCCGAGGUGAUUGAGGUGAUGCGCCGUGUGGACCGCGGCUGGUUCGUGCGCAACCCCAAAGAUGCUUACCGUGAUCAGCCUCUGCCCAUCGGUUUCGGCGUGACCAUCAGCGCUCCACAUAUGCAUGCUAUCAUGUUGGAGCUGGUGAGCCCGUCUGUGCUGCGCCACAAGAAUCUGAACCGCGGCCAUAGCCAGCCGCUGCGACUGCUGGACAUCGGUAGUGGCAGCGGCUACAUGACGGCUGCCUUUGCUGCGCUGUGUGAGGCGGCUUGGCGAGACGGUGAGCCGCCGAUGUUUGAGGUGGUCGGCAUCGAGCACGUGCAGGAGCUCCAGAAGCAGUCAAAGCGCGUCCUCGAGUCGCACUUCCCUGAGUGGAUCCGCGGGCGCCGCGUCACGUUGCUGCACGGAGACGGACGGAAGCCUCGCUCCAUCGCGGGUGUUGGUGAGGAAAAAGGUGAAUGCUUUGACGUCAUCCACGUCGGCGCCACCGCGCCGAAGACUCUCGUGCCCGAGUACCUAAGCCUUCUCCGGUGCGGUGGUACGCUGGUGAUUCCCGUUGGUAGCCCGGCCGAGGUGCAGGAGUUACAGGUGUUCACGAAGGGCGAUGAAGGCGCUUUCACGAUGCGGCGAGCGUGUCACGUGCAAUUUGUGCCGCUCACAUCUCUACAUGCCCAGCUCGAUGGCGACGUGACGACGCGCACGUAAGCGGCUCAUUAGUUUUUUUUUUUGCUUUAGGUGCAGCUGAAAUCGCACUGCCGCGCACCACGGAACGGCCCACCGUCAAACGAAAACAAAAAGACGACGAGGGUAAAGCUCACGGAGCUUCUCACGCACAGGUCUGCCGCGUGCACACGUAGGCCUCUGUCAUUGUGCAUUGACGAACUGUGUAAGUAUUCAUGUAUACGUAGACGACAGAGCACGUCGCUAAUUUGGUCUGCACGGUGCGGCAGUCCCUUUCUCUUUCACUUCGUUGUUUUCUUGUCCCCCAAACCGGCCAAAGUAAUCCGUAACCAUUCGAUGGGACAAGACGCUCCUCGAGUAGCUUCUCCGGCGACAUCUUUCCUUUUUUCGUCUUCUCGUUUAUUAGUGUGUCUGCUCUCUCUCUCUCUCUGCGUCUCUGCCCUUUAGUCUGCAGCUGCUAUGUUGCAGAAGACGUCCGGCUCUUUCCUCUUGCAUCCAUCUUCGUUUGGCGAUACACUCUUCCCACCUCCGGUGUCCAUGGCUUCAGACGGACACAUUUCUGGUUCGCGCGUGCCUGUUGUCUUUCUAUUCUCGCUGUUUCUCGUUUUUUUUUUGAAGUAGUGCGGCUGCUCCACGACCCAUGGCAGCCAAGGUGACCCAUCCACGAUCUGCUUCGUUCCUUUCCUGCUUUCCUCUUUGUUUUCGAUUCUUCCAAAGCAUGGAACGACGAGGCACGACUUAGAUCGAAACGGAUGGCACUACUCGGUCCCCCCUCCCCUCUCCCCACCGCCACUCUCCUCAAGUUCUCCUUCCCCGGUCAGGAAAAGACAGCGAGAUCAAGUAUAUUCGUUUUUGCUGUUGCUGCCGUUGAAUCGUGUCGCUGGCUCUACCCUUACAGUGUUUCGCACUUCAACCGCUUCGCAGCAUCAUCCUCUCUCUUUGUUGCCCUCUCUGUGUGCAUGAUCGAUUUCGCUCUCUUGUCCGUCGAAGCGCAGCCACCGCACACAGACCUCGCUGCUCUCUCCCUCUCCUAUGAAUGCUUCUCUCGUCUUUGUUCUCUGCUUUUUUUUUCUCCUGUGUCGGCAUGUGCCACUGCGACAGCGACGCCGGCUCCCCGUAUACCCUCUCUGCUCACACCUCCAUCCGCUGUCUGCUCCUCUGAGUUCCCUACCCGACCUUAGAUGCUGGCCUCUUAUCUCGUCCGCUUCAGCUCUUCCUUGUUUUGCUGCCGCGCCAGAGGAAGCGAAAACGGCGGCAGCCGACCUACAUGAACUGGAAAGCGAUCCCAUGGCACUUCACUGAUGCGCAGGCGGAAUUCAAGAGACCAGCACAGAGUAACGCCUGCAUCAUGUUCAGCACAGUCGAAACUGCUACGCCUUCCUGGGAUUCUGAAAGCCCCUUGCCUGCGCAGCGCGCCAAGUCUCUCUCUCGGUGUUCCUUUGGUCCUUUCUGUCUCUCCCCCACCGCACGCCGCUCGUAUCGAGGUGAGCCCACGCGGACCUUCUAGUUCCGUCGCGCUGCCACGCUCCACUGACCUCUCGCUCCUGUGCUUGUCGCGCUCUCUCUCUGCCUGCGCGCUCGCAUACGUGUUUUUCCUGCUCGCACUCCCUCGCCCCACGCCACACGACUCUCCCCUCUCCGCCUUACGUCAUGCCGCACUUUACACGCGCGCACACACACACACGAAGCAUGCUUCUAAG
Molecule: unclassified non-coding RNA, 2748 nt
Filed under: Leishmania donovani
Lineage: Eukaryota; Euglenozoa; Kinetoplastea; Trypanosomatida; Trypanosomatidae
Description: gene:LdHU3.36.9140(CDS-product:protein-l-isoaspar tate_o-methyltransferase_putative)
Source: RNAcentral